RNAcentral lists this ribosomal RNA (1316 nucleotides) under metagenome. RNAcentral describes it as "bacterial SSU rRNA". It matches the Rfam family "Bacterial small subunit ribosomal RNA", at positions 84 to 1375 of the family's 1533-position model. The record is from RNAcentral.
GGAGAAGUAAAGUGGCGCACGGGUGAGUAACGCGUGGGUAAUCUGCCCCUGAAUCUGGGAUAACAUCGCGAAAGCGUUGCUAAUACCGGAUACUGUCACUAGAGUACUGCUCUAGUGAUGAAAGGUGACCUCUUCAUGAAAGUUGCCGUUUAGGGAGGAGCCCGCGUACCAUUAGCUUGUUGGCGGGGUAAUGGCCCACCAAGGCUACGAUGGUUAGCUGGUCUGAGAGGAUGAUCAGCCACACUGGAACUGAAACACGGUCCAGACUCCUACGGGAGGCAGCAGUGAGGAAUUUUGCGCAAUGGGGGAAACCCUGACGCAGCAACGCCGCGUGAGUGAAGAAGGCUUUCGGGUCGUAAAGCUCUGUCAAGUGGGAAAAAAGCUUGCCGAUGAAUAGUCGGUAGGUCUGAUGGUACCGCUAGAGGAAGCACCGGCUAACUCCGUGCCAGCAGCCGCGGUAAUACGGAGGGUGCGAGCGUUGUUCGGAAUUAUUGGGCGUAAAGAGCGUGUAGGCGGGUUGGCAAGUCAGAUGUGAAAGCCCUGGGCUCAACCCAGGAUGUGCAUUUGAAACUGCCUUUCUAGAGUAUGGGAGAGGAGAGUGGAAUUCCCAGUGUAGAGGUGAAAUUCGUAGAUAUUGGGAGGAACACCCGUGGCGAAGGCGACUCUCUGGACCAAUACUGACGCUGAGACGCGAAAGCGUGGGGAGCAAACAGGAUUAGAUACCCUGGUAGUCCACGCCGUAAACGAUGAGAACUAGGUGUAGCGGGUAUUGACCCCUGCUGUGCCGGAGCUAACGCAUUAAGUUCUCCGCCUGGGGAGUACGGCCGCAAGGCUAAAACUCAAAGGAAUUGACGGGGGCCCGCACAAGCGGUGGAGCAUGUGGUUUAAUUCGACGCAACGCGAAGAACCUUACCUGGGUUUGACAUCCUCUGACUGUCUCGGAAACGGGAUUUUUCCUGCUUGCAGGAACAGAGUGACAGGUGCUGCAUGGCUGUCGUCAGCACGUGUCGUGAGAUGUUGGGUUAAGUCCCGCAACGAGCGCAACCCUUGUCUUUAGUUGCCAGUAUUAAGUUAGGCACUCUAAAAAUACUGCCUCGGAUAACGGGGAGGAAGGUGGGGAUGACGUCAAGUCCUCAUGGCCUUUAUACCCAGGGCUACACACGUGCUACAAUGGGCUGUACAAAGGGUUGCUAUCCCGCAAGGGAACGCCAAUCCCAAAAAGCAGUUCUCAGUUCGGAUUGGAGUCUGCAACUCGACUCCAUGAAGUUGGAAUCGCUAGUAAUCGUGGAUCAGCAUGCCACGGUGAAUACGUUCCC